CGACCGGCGCACGGGUGCGUAACACGUUAAAUCGAGCCAUAUCAGGGGAUAGCCCGGAGAAUCCGGAUUAUACCCCAUAAUAGUCGAGGAGGCAUCUUCUUGAUUUGAAAGCUACGGGGAUAUGAUGAGUAUGCGUCUGAUUAUUAGUUGGUGAGGUACGGUCACAACCAGAUCAGAGGGAUCUGAAGAUACCCCAGGGAUAUGAACGGAUCCGAUCCUACGGGAGGCAGCAGUAAGGAAUAUUGGACAAUGCCCGAAAGGGUGAUCCCAGCCAUGCCGGUGCAGGAUGAAGCGUUUCGGCGUGUAAACUUUCUGUUAGAGGGGACGGAUUAUGAGGUCACCUCCAGAGAAAGCCCGGUAAUAUGUGCCAGAGCCGCGGUAAAUACAUAUUGGUGCAAGNCGUAUCCGGAUUUAUUGGCGUAAACGCCGCGUAAGACGGUUNGGAAUUAAACAUAAUUCCAUNGGGUUCAAACCCUNGGUCCAGUUNUUAAAAACUGGCCAAUCCUAAAGUUUUUCGGAAAGGGAAAGGGNCAAGCUUAAACACAAUUAAACUAGAAAAAGGCGUUAAGAAUNACACGGGCAGGGAAAACACAACGUNGG
RNAcentral lists this ribosomal RNA (600 nucleotides) under uncultured bacterium. RNAcentral's name for it is "partial 16S ribosomal RNA". It matches the Rfam family "Bacterial small subunit ribosomal RNA", at positions 92 to 715 of the family's 1533-position model. The record is from RNAcentral.